RNAcentral lists this long non-coding RNA (1002 nucleotides) under Homo sapiens (human). RNAcentral describes it as "HSALNT0127594". The record is from RNAcentral. Lineage: Eukaryota; Metazoa; Chordata; Mammalia; Primates; Hominidae.
CUGGAAAGUCCAAGAUCAAACUGCCAGUAGAUUUGGCAUCUCUUUCAUAGAUGGUGCCUUGUUGCUGUGUCCUUACCUGGAAGCAGUAAUGUAAGGACAAAAGAGACACUAGUGUUGCGUUCAGUCUCUUUUAUGAGGGUACUAAUCCCAUUUUUGAGGGCUCUGCCCUCAUGACUUCGUCACCCCCUAAAGCCCCACCUCUUAACACUAUCACAUUGGUGAUCAAUUUCAACAUAAAUAUUGGAGGGACAUAUGCAUUUAAACUGCAGCAUUCCCAUUUAUAGAUGAUAAAACUAGGGCAUUAGAGAGAAAAAAUACGUCAUUGAAGGACAUACUUUUAUGUUAGGGGGUUCAUAUCUAGGCACAUUAAUGCCAGGACUUGAGCAUUUAACCAUUAUACUACCCUGUUUUCCUGAACUCUUCAUUUUGACAGAUGUUCUACAUGCUUAAAAGUGACAUAUUAUCUACAUUUACUAUUGUAAAAUGCUAGUAAGAAAUUUAACUCUAGUGUUAAGUUCUACCCAUAAAAUAAAAUGCUUUAAUACUUUGACCAACGUUAAGAUAUUUUUGUAUUUUUUAAUCUACUCAAUCAGAGACUUCUGUUAAUAGUUUUACACAUAGAACAUAACUAAAGUUAUCUCUACCCCCCUCUCUCAUUUUUCAAAGUGAAAUAGGGAAUUGAUUUAGGCCAAAUCUUCCUGCCAGUAAAAAGACAUGAAUGUUGAUUCAGGUAGUCAGAUAACUCACCCUUCUUUGUCUUGGGUGGUAAAAAUGUCAUUGAAUUCAAAAUCAAACCUCUUUAAUCUAAUUAUCAUUUUCUUAUUAUAGCAAAACCUUAUUUGAAUGAACCCCAAAUAAUGGAACUUAUAAAUUAUUAUGGAAACCAUUCUAUUUCUCCCUCAUUGAGAAGCAAGGGAAGAGCAAGCAAUUUGAAAUCUGAGGCCUUCAAAAGGUACAUCACUAUUGUUCCAUCCUCUGAAAUUCUAUUCUACUAAUUAUCUG